This 88-nucleotide transfer RNA is filed under the name Acidobacteriota bacterium. RNAcentral describes it as "Acidobacteria bacterium tRNA-Ser". It matches the Rfam family "tRNA". Rfam says of the family: Transfer RNA (tRNA) molecules are approximately 80 nucleotides in length. Their secondary structure includes four short double-helical elements and three loops (D, anti-codon, and T loops). Further hydrogen bonds mediate the characteristic L-shaped molecular structure. tRNAs have two regions of fundamental functional importance: the anti-codon, which is responsible for specific mRNA codon recognition, and the 3' end, to which the tRNAs corresponding amino acid is attached (by aminoacyl-tRNA synthetases). tRNAs cope with the degeneracy of the genetic code in two manners: having more than one tRNA (with a specific anti-codon) for a particular amino acid; and 'wobble' base-pairing, i.e. permitting non-standard base-pairing at the 3rd anti-codon position. The record is from RNAcentral. RNAcentral also lists the same sequence under 2 other names. Lineage: Bacteria; Pseudomonadati; Acidobacteriota.
GGAGGAGUGGCCGAGUGGUUUAAGGCGGCGGUCUUGAAAACCGUUGAACCGCGAGGUUCCGGGGGUUCGAAUCCCCCCUCCUCCGCCA